GGAUGGGCAAGAAAUGCUGGCCUGGCCAGUGACGCUCACAUCCCAACCUUAACCAACUGGACUUCCCAGCCUACGAGAGCUACGAGAAACUGCGUCACAUGUUGCUGCUCGCCAUCCAGGAGUGUUCGGAGGGAUUUGGCCUUGCCUGAAGCUGUACAAACCAAGGAAGGACGGAACGAACAAUCGGAAGACAAUUGAGAAACAAAAGGCAGUACCCAAAAGGGGAGACUGUAAAACGUGCAUAACUUGCUCUCCUCGGACUGACCUAGUAGACUUGCUUUGAAAACCAUGUUACAGAAAGGCAACUGCCUGUGCCCGAGUGGGUUUCUGGAGUGAGAGAUUCGCACAGGAGGAAAAAUAUACUGACCUUGGGAAAAAAAAAAUUUCUUUCAUUUUCCCCAUCCUCCUCCUCCUCCCCCCUGUUAGGUUGCAUCAUUGUGUGUGUGUGUGUGUGUGUGUGUGUGUGUGUGCGCGUGUGUAUGUGCGCGCACAAGUGUCUGCGCACACACGCCCUUGGGUUGUCUUGACUUGCACAUUGGAGGGGGAAAGGAGGAAUUUUUUUUUUUUAAAAAGGAGAGAAUUCCGACAUGGAAAUAAUUGGCUCCAGUGUCACUAGCUCAGUAACGGAUACCACUUGUUGCGAUGUCACUUUUCACUAUGCUGUUUGUCUCGUUCUUUUGUUUAUCUCUGAAUCCAUGCAAAUAUUGAAGAUGUAAAUAAAUAUUACAAAGUUUUUGAUCCACAGACGGCCCUAUUCAGCAGUGGAGCAGUGACCUGCCGGCAAGAGGUCAAGGGUUAUAUUUUUGAAUCAUGGCAAGGCCUUAGCUUUGAACCGGAUCCCCAUUUAAUCGGACGAUGACACACAAGGUGCGACACAAAUUAAACAUUGUGACGCGGGUAGGUGGGGUGGGGUGGGAGGGGGAGGAACAGAGGGGUGAGGAAGAAAGCUUAAAGUUGUAAAAUAUGUGCAAAAAAAAAAGUCAUUAGCCAAGUUCAUGCUUUUUUUCAUGUUUAUUCAUUUGAGAUUUUUUGGAAAAUUCUGGAAUAAAUAAAAAGCUGGUUUGAUUCACUUCAACAUUUGAAUGUUUAAAAAGGAGAGAGAGAAAAGAAAAGAGGAACGACAGGUUCUGAUCUCAGAAUUUCAAAGGCCACCUCUGUCCUUUUUUUUUUGCCUGUCUCGAUAUCCAAGUGUGUGAGAGGGAGGGAGGGGGUUCUGUUAUGGCCAUUAGUACUUUGAACAAAGGAGAAAAAUAUACAAAGAAGAUUCAUUAAAGGUUUAGUUUGAAAAA
Carcharodon carcharias (great white shark) is the source of this 1289-nucleotide long non-coding RNA. RefSeq lists it as uncharacterized. Lineage: Eukaryota; Metazoa; Chordata; Chondrichthyes; Lamniformes; Lamnidae. The record is from RefSeq and is a predicted model, not a curated record. The transcript is spliced from 2 exons.